RNAcentral lists this transfer RNA (68 nucleotides) under Platencyrtus parkeri. Its description in RNAcentral is "tRNA-Leu". The record is from RNAcentral. Lineage: Eukaryota; Metazoa; Arthropoda; Insecta; Hymenoptera; Encyrtidae.
UUUAGUAUGGCAGAUUAGUGCAAUAAAUUUAAGAUUUAUAUAUAUAAUAAUUUAAAUUAUUACUAAAA